Molecule: ribosomal RNA, 519 nt
Filed under: Bifidobacterium longum subsp. infantis
Lineage: Bacteria; Bacillati; Actinomycetota; Actinomycetes; Bifidobacteriales; Bifidobacteriaceae
Also listed under: 2 other names
Description: bacterial SSU rRNA
Rfam family: Bacterial small subunit ribosomal RNA
Source: RNAcentral
GGUAAUGCCGGAUGCUCCAGUUGAUCGCAUGGUCUUCUGGGAAAGCUUUCGCGGUAUGGGAUGGGGUCGCGUCCUAUCAGCUUGACGGCGGGGUAACGGCCCACCGUGGCUUCGACGGGUAGCCGGCCUGAGAGGGCGACCGGCCACAUUGGGACUGAGAUACGGCCCAGACUCCUACGGGAGGCAGCAGUGGGGAAUAUUGCACAAUGGGCGCAAGCCUGAUGCAGCGACGCCGCGUGAGGGAUGGAGGCCUUCGGGUUGUAAACCUCUUUUAUCGGGGAGCAAGCGAGAGUGAGUUUACCCGUUGAAUAAGCACCGGCUAACUACGUGCCAGCAGCCGCGGUAAUACGUAGGGUGCAAGCGUUAUCCGGAAUUAUUGGGCGUAAAGGGCUCGUAGGCGGUUCGUCGCGUCCGGUGUGAAAGUCCAUCGCUUAACGGUGGAUCCGCGCCGGGUACGGGCGGGCUUGAGUGCGGUAGGGGAGACUGGAAUUCCCGGUGUAACGGUGGAAUGUGUAGAUA